AUGAAUUCUGGUGUCUUCGGACCCAACCCCCUUCAUUUAUAUCUAUUUCCUGUGAACUGUAUUGAGUUUUGGAUUUUCAAGUGUGUUUCCUUUAAUGCAUUUGAGUUCAAAACUCUCCCCCCCAAUUUUAAACAACGUCGUUGAAUGUUAUUUACAUCUGUGUAAUGCGGAUUAAAAACAAAAUA
RNAcentral lists this unclassified non-coding RNA (185 nucleotides) under uncultured fungus. RNAcentral describes it as "sequence contains ITS1". The record is from RNAcentral. Lineage: Eukaryota; Fungi.